This 209-nucleotide long non-coding RNA is filed under the name Setaria italica (foxtail millet). RNAcentral describes it as "long non-coding RNA (SITA_LNC004584)". The record is from RNAcentral. Lineage: Eukaryota; Viridiplantae; Streptophyta; Magnoliopsida; Poales; Poaceae.
UUUUUUCCAUAAUUAAAUAAAGUUAUUUUUGUAGAUUAAUCAAUAGAUUUGAGAGCAUUAUGUGGAGGUAGUGUUCGAAGAAUAAGAUCACGAACACAAACGAUUAGGGGGGGAAAUCAUGGGUUGGCUUUUUUCUCAAUCCAUCUUUGUUCUCUCCUUAUCUUUAUCACAAAAUUAUACAUCCCUAACCAAUACCUCAAUGAUUCAAA